Long non-coding RNA from Cyprinus carpio carpio, 1167 nucleotides. The record is from Ensembl. Lineage: Eukaryota; Metazoa; Chordata; Actinopteri; Cypriniformes; Cyprinidae.
GUUUUAGCAACCAUAAUUUUUCGGCAGAUUUUGUGUUUUGAGCUUAAUUCCUUAUUGUGAACCUGUUCAGUUCUUUACUUUUUCAUGGUUGAUGUUUUAGAAGAUUUUAGCGCGAUUAAAGUGUUUAACUGACCGUGAUCCCGACUGGUUGGUUACUGUCGCUUCCACUGGCUGCUCAAUCAGACAGAGUUUAACGCGUUCUCUACCACUCUCAAGGAAAUAUAUUAUUUCAUGAUUAUGAAUUUAUUCUUAUGGAUCUGUUCUUUUACAUGAUCGAUAUUUUAGGGAGGCUUAUUACAAAUAAAGUGCCCAAAUGGCCGUGAUCCCAACUGGCAGCUGAUUGUCGCUUCCUCUGGUCGCUCACAGCCGCAAGAGCGCUCCGAGUUUAACGCGUUCUCACUCUCUCUACAAGGAAAUAUAUUAUUUUAUGAUUAUUAAUAUAUUCGCAUGGGUCUAGUCUUUUAAUCUGUCAACAUUUUAUAAAGGCUUUUUACAAAUAAAGUGCCCAAAUGGCCGUGUUCCCAACUGGCAGCUGAUUUUCGCUUCCACUGGCCGCUCAAUCAGACAGCCGCCUCGUUCCAAGGAAUUCUAAUAAUUUUAUUCCCCUAACUACAGUUGAAGGAGAGCAAAACACACGAAUCUGCCAUAAAUCAAUAGUUCCCGAUAGUGUACUGCCAGCUGCCAGGCUACUACUGGCAGGUCACGUGAACCAUGCUCAACCAGCCAGUCGCUGCGGGGCUGAGAGUGUAACGCGUUCACUUUUGCUGCAAGGAAAUACAUUAUUUUAUUAUUAAUAAUAUAUUCAUAUGACUCUAUUCUUAAUUGGCAUUUUAGGUGAGUUUAUCCCAAUUAAAUAUAGUGUGUUAUCUAUGCAGUUAUCAAUAAGACAAGUUUUCAGAUUUAUGCGGUCACCUGCAGGACAGUCAGCAGAUUACACCUUUAACUUUAUUCAAGUGCAAUGUGAUUAUAUUAUAAGGAUUUGAUUGUACUUUAUUCCCAAUCUUGUUCCUGGAGGUCCCCCAAAACUGCACAUUUUGCAUCUCUCCUUUCUCUGACAGACACAUUUCAGGUCUUGGAGUCUCUACUAAUGAGCUGAUGAUCUGAAUCAGGUGUGUUUGAUUAAGGAGACAUGGAAAACCUGCAGUGUUGGGGGGCCUCCAGGAACGU